UAUUAUUUAGCCUAUCUAUAUCUGUAACUAUAGAGGAACCUACUAAUUGCGAAGGAAUUUACGGUGCACAAUUGAAUGCUUGUGUAAGGUUACACAAGCUACUUUUGACCUGCAAUAGCAGGUUUUUCCGGUUUUUUUAAAAAAAAUAAAAAAUACAGAUUUAUUAAUUACAAUAAUUAACUAGUGAUAAUUUUAAUUAAGUUAAAUAGAUCUACUAAACUUGAAUUUUCCAGAUUUCAGAAUACAUCAUUCAUCUUCAUCUCUCUUUCUUCCCCAUGACCCACUACGAUGAACAACGACCAGGUCUUGCACAACUCCAUAUUCUCCCUCAACCUCCCCUCCAUCUCAACCAUGCACCGCAGGACCUCCGUCGCGGAUUCCGGUAACAACUAUCGUGAAGUUGCAAGAACCAAAAAAAAAUUCAGAACCAACCUAGAAAACCCAAAAAAAAAAAUCAGAAGCCAUAGACCCAAACAGAUCUGCGAAGGCCUCUUCUGCUAUAGUCGCCACCUCCUCCAUCCCCCACCUGCAACCGAAACCGAGAACCCAGAUCUACAAACGAACCCAGGAACCAAACCAAGAACCAAAGGGUGUUGUGGUCGCCAGAAAAUGCGCCGACGGAGGAGAAGCAGAGAGGGAAAUUUGCAGUGACCCAUCACCAACAGAUAUCAGAACCCCCAUCUCACCCUUCAACAAAACCCCCCAAACCACUAUCAAACAGAGAGACAGAGAGGAGAUGAAGGAGAAAACCCAGCCACCACAGAUCCAAGCAAAUCCCACCGUCCUCCUAUUCUGCCGCUCCUCGUCGUGUCAAGAUUGUGGAGUAUCAGACCGACGUUGCUCUUCCCUUUCGCUCUCAAUCCACUUCGAUUCACAGGGCGAGUUUGGAUCUCGUUCAGCAGCCAUGGGUCGGAUCUAGAUUUGGGGUCAUCAAAGAUCUGAAAAAUAAAAGAAGGUUGCAAGAUAGAGCUUGGGGAAGAAGAGAGGAUACACACAUAGUUAAAUGAUAAGAAAUAAUAGAUUUUUUUAUUUAAAUUUCUCAUAAUCUGGUGUUUGUUGGGUCUGUGGUGGCUAUGGAGGCCUUGGCUUGGUGAUUCAAUUUUGAAAUAAUAGCAAAUGGGUUCCAGGUUGUUCUAGAAUAAUGAAAAUGAUAAUUAAUAAUUUGUUUAUUUUCA
Lotus japonicus is the source of this 1175-nucleotide long non-coding RNA. RefSeq lists it as uncharacterized. The transcript has 2 exons. The record is from RefSeq and is a predicted model, not a curated record. Lineage: Eukaryota; Viridiplantae; Streptophyta; Magnoliopsida; Fabales; Fabaceae.